Leptinotarsa decemlineata (Colorado potato beetle) is the source of this 550-nucleotide long non-coding RNA. The record is from RefSeq and is a predicted model, not a curated record. NCBI's taxonomy places the organism in Eukaryota, Metazoa, Arthropoda, Insecta, Coleoptera, Chrysomelidae.
ACUGAGAAAGCAGACUCAAAGAAAAAGACUUUAUUGGGUUAUGUGCUCAGUCCUCAUCAAGAUGCCAUAGUGAAUCAUUUAGUGCCUUCAAUAUGUGCCUGUGUACUGUAUACAUUUUUGAUUGCUGGAGAUAUAGGAGUGGUAAUUAGUCAUUACAGAAAUAAAGAUCCAAUUUGGGCAUCACUCACCAUAUUCUUCAUGUAUUUGCCUGUUUUGGUCAGCUUCAUUAUCAUUGUGUCGAACUGGGAGUUAUGGCCCGAGUUUCUGGUGUGUGGGCGCAAGAAUAUGACAUGGUUUUUACGGAAAGUUUCGGAACAUCUUUUUUUUCCAGUAUGGAGUAUGUGGAGGUUCGCAGAAAGAAUAUUCUGGUCUAUAGAAGCCAUAAGAGCUAAAGAAGAGGACUAUAUUAAAGAAUCGUUAAAAGUCGUUGCAGUCCCCCGUUCUAUAGAAUUGUACGUUUUCUUGCAAUCUUAUUUACACUCACUUCCGCAGGUUUUAUUGCAACUUUACAUAUUGAUGAGAUACAAUGCUGACAUGAAACAUGAAACAG